Molecule: ribosomal RNA, 497 nt
Filed under: uncultured bacterium
Lineage: Bacteria
Description: partial 16S ribosomal RNA
Rfam family: Bacterial small subunit ribosomal RNA
Source: RNAcentral
GAUGAACGCUGGCGGCGUGCCUAAUACAUGCAAGUCGAGCGAACAGACGAGGAGCUUGCUCCUCUGACGUUAGCGGCGGACGGGUGAGUAACACGUGGAUAACCUCCUUAUAAGACUGGGAUAACUUCGGGAAACCGGAGCUAAUACCGGAUAAUAUAUUGAACCGCAUGGUUCAAUAGUGAAAGACGGUUUUGCUGUCACUUAUAGAUGGAUCCGCGCCGCAUUAGCUAGUUGGUAAGGUAACGGCUUACCAAGGCAACGAUGCGUAGCCGACCUGAGAGGGUGAUCGGCCACACUGGAACUGAGACACGGUCCAGACUCCUACGGGAGGCAGCAGUAGGGAAUCUUCCGCAAUGGGCGAAAGCCUGACGGAGCAACGCCGCGUGAGUGAUGAAGGUCUUCGGAUCGUAAAACUCUGUUAUUAGGGAAGAACAAAUGUGUAAGUAACUAUGCACGUCUUGACGGUACCUAAUCAGAAAGCCACGGCUAACUACGUG